RNAcentral lists this unclassified non-coding RNA (1117 nucleotides) under Hevea brasiliensis (rubber tree). The record is from RNAcentral. Lineage: Eukaryota; Viridiplantae; Streptophyta; Magnoliopsida; Malpighiales; Euphorbiaceae.
AAAUUUAUAAAAUAUUUCAAAUUCGCUAAAAAAUAAUGAAUCUGAUAUAUAUAUCUCUCUCUCUACAAGAUUCAGUACCAGUUUGGUAUUUAUAUUCAAGGGAAGAUUCUGAAGCCAGAAACAACUAACCUUGGAAGACCUCCCAAUGUACAACUAAUUACCGCAUAAAAUCAAAGUUUAUUCCCAAUGUACAACUAAUUACCACAUAAAAUCAAAGUUCUUCAGAAUAAAAUCACAUCAAGAUUGUUGUCUCCUUGAACUCGUUUGAGGUACUACAGCAUUUGUUGCACUGCACGUUCUCCUAAGAAAUUUUGGUUUAAACCAACUCGAAGAGCCAUUGCUUGUUUCUUCUACAGCACGGAAACUACCAGAAAUCCCAGGAUUGCUUAAAACCUCGACUGCUUCUGAAAUUCCAUUACCCCUCUGAAACAGAAUUUAAGCCAUUGAGAUGCCAUAGAAGGGCUGAAAUAAGUAGUUAUAAUGCAAAUUGAAAAUCAAGGUCAACCUGCUGGGGGGUGGCUGGGGUAGCUCUGUGGAAGGGUCGUUGAACCUAAAAAAGAUCCAAGUCCAUUUAAUGGAUAAGGGCUUAUUAUAAUCAGGUAAAAGAGCUGUCUUCUAGUCUACAAAAAAGAUUCUUAAACGAAGCCCUUGGCAUUAACUAAAAGUCACCAAGAAUUAAAGUCACUAAAAACAAUUCUUUAAAUUUCAGAUAUGGAAGAACACCAUGGAGGGGUAAACUUAAGAAACAUGAUCAAUUAUCUCUCAUUGAAUCCCACAAAAUAUUUCUUGCAUAUGAGCCCAAGUAAAAGAAUGAGAUUAAAUUUUCUGGAAGUCAACAAACCUCCAAAGAUCCGCUGGAAACAGAUGGAGAAGUUAGUUCACUUGAUGGAGGCGGCAAAGAACCCUUCUGUGAAAGCACAAACACAAGCUAUUAGCUAACAACAUUAAGAACACAGCAAGCACUGUAGUCAUGACAUUUUAAGUUUGUAGCCAAUGAAGUGAUAGAACAGAGUACAUUAAUUGGGAUAGACAUGCAAAAUGCAUUCAGUUUCAUAUUACAAAUUUCCAGUUCUGAACAGACCUUGUGACCAAGCAAAGAAUAAUAAUAAUAAUAAUA